Molecule: unclassified non-coding RNA, 227 nt
Filed under: rhizosphere metagenome
Description: partial ribosomal RNA internal transcribed spacer region
Source: RNAcentral
GUUGGUGAACCAGCGGAGGGAUCAUUAAAGAGCUUAAAAACUCCUUAAAACCAUUGUAAACUCAUCCGUCAGCGUUGCUUCGGUGGGCGGCCCCAGGGCGGGGCCGCAGCCUCCCCUCUCCGGAGGGGGGCGCCCGCCGGAGGCACAAAACUCUUAUGUAUUAUAUGGAACUUCUGAUUAAACAAGCAAAUAAGUUAAAACUUUCAACAACGGAUCUCUUGGUUCUG